This 61-nucleotide transfer RNA is filed under the name Amblyomma gervaisi. RNAcentral's name for it is "tRNA-Phe". The record is from RNAcentral. Lineage: Eukaryota; Metazoa; Arthropoda; Arachnida; Ixodida; Ixodidae.
ACCUUUAUAGUUUAUAAAAAAACAUUACACUGAAAAUGUAAAAAAAAUUAAUUUAAAGGUA